AAUGCUAUUUUCUUUGAAGCUGAUCUGCUGUCUGCUAAUGUUUAUUGAACACAGAAUCAAAGAGGAUACAGCUCUGAGCAUCAGGAGGUUAGGUCAACACAAGUUCACCUCAGAUGCGUAAUGUCAGCAAUCUAUUACUGUACAGCUUACUCAGCGUACUCUAUUUAACCAUAGAAUGUUGAGUUGUUUUGUACAAACCAUAACAUUCCAUUAUACAUAUUUAUUACACGCCUCUGUGGAAUACUUGAUUCUGAUUGGUCAGUCGCGAGUCGACAUCCCUAGAUAACAACAAAGGCUCAUCCGGGUAACCGCAGUUCCACUGCACACUUGCUUGAACAAUUUUUCUUCUUGGUGGAAGCUUUGCGUUUUUUUAGCUAAAAAAAAAUAUUAAAACUUGAUUCGAAAUAGUGGACAGUUAUUUAAUUAAGUCAUCCUGGUAUCGCGAACUCGCUCUCCAUUUCAUUCAAAUGCAGCUGCUGCCAUUUUAAGCAGCUGCUGGUAAGGUUUUAACAUUUUUUAGUCUUAAUUAUUUUGCCUUAAUUAUUUUGUGGUGAAAUGUUGUGUAAUAAACAGUGGUGUAUAAAGUACUUGAAAUUCAUAAUCAAGUAAAAUACAGGUAUCUUACCAGAAAAAAAAACAUACACACACACACACGGAACAAAAUAUCGAUGAAUCAUCCAGCACUACACAGGUUUUUAUCCAAUCAGAUGCGCUCUGGAAUGAGAAUUUCCCUCCCACUAAAUGAUCGCUCUUCUCUACUCUAAUCAUGGUUCGUCGGUGUGUAUUUGGUUGUUCUAACGCACGUACUUUAUUUUGUUUCCCAACCACAAACUGGUUACGAAAAAAGUGGCUGGAGUUUAUACAUUUCGAAGAAGGGGCUAUUUGCGCCAGCUCGCGGCUAUGUGACAGGCACUUCUCUGACGAAUCCUUCACCAAUUUGGGGAUGGUUACUGCUGGGAUAACGUGCUACCUUACAUUAGCAAACACGGCUGUUCCGACUCUUUACACUGUAGGCGCUUCCCCUCCCGCACGACCAAUAACACGCGAGGUGGGCUGCCAGUGUAAUACUCCGCUUCUGAAGAGCGUUGCGGUCCAAGCAGUACGCACCCAAAAAAAGCCAAAACGGAGAAGUAAAGCCAUUCAAGUGAGACCUCUUUUGAGUCAUUGUGCUAGUGUGCCCUGCUCGGAUGAGGAUUUUUCAGUCAAAUCUGAAUCUUCAUUAACAUUAACACCAAUUAAAAGGCCACGCAUGGAGGAUUCCCCUGAGAGGUCUACACACAGCUCAGAAGAACCAACAGAUGACACCCACGUGCCUAAUAUAAUUAAAGAAGAUGACAUAAAGGUAGCAAAAAUCUUUCUAGUGAUGUCCGGAGGCUUCUCUCGUGUAUGUCUACCAGAGUAUGGGUCCUUUACCCCACAAAUCAUAGAUCGAGUUAGUCUACAUGCCCCUCACUUUCUGAUCCAUGUUCAGGCUUGAGCCCUGUGAGUCUUCGUACAUCGUCGUCACCAUCUGAAUCCUCCAUUUCGUCAUCUGCAGAAAACAGAAUCUGACCAGCACAGGAGGAAGAGGCCAAAGAUGAGAAAGAUGUACUUCUGACAUGUCUACAAAUUCGUAUUUGACAUGGAUAAAGCAUGUGGAUGGAAAUGCCACACUCAAAUGACAUGCCUCGUCUCAAAUCUAACACUAUCACAGGAAAUACAUGUAUUCAAGAGAUGUUGUUGUGUCAAACAUCAUAAAUAAAGAAAUAUUAGUAGCAUGUAAGGAAACCACAUACACUGUGUUCUAUUUGGCCUAAAACAAAAACUGUCUUCCACUGAAAAGUCCAUUAAUGGAUGUUUUGUUAAUCGGAACAUUCUGUGCAGCCUUUUCUUUAAGGCAUACCUACUUUGUUAGAUUGUAAACUCACUGACUUGUCAUUGUUAUAAUCACUUCAGGUCUGGAGGGUUGGGAAUGAUUAAGGAGCUGUCUUGCACACAAUGGGCCGGUAUUUGUACAAUGGAAAAAGGGAGAUGUAAAAGGGGGAUGUCCCAUCUAGCACUUGGGUAGAGGGAUGAUUUUGAAUUUAACAUUGUAGGUCAAAGGAAAGCCCAAAAUAUAAAUUCUGACAUUUAAAAGAUGUUUAAGGAGAAGCAAGAGUGUCUUGCCAAAACAAAUCUGUUUCAGAUCUCAAAUGUUAAUACAUUUGUUGAUUUGUUUUAAUAAGUGUUUUAUACAUUCCAUAAAUAAUGUUAUUUAUGAAUUAAAUGUAUUAUUUAUGUCAUCAGUCAUUUUGUUUAAUGGAAAUACAU
Carassius gibelio (silver crucian carp) is the source of this 2289-nucleotide RNA transcript. RefSeq lists it as uncharacterized. The record is from RefSeq and is a predicted model, not a curated record. Lineage: Eukaryota; Metazoa; Chordata; Actinopteri; Cypriniformes; Cyprinidae. The transcript has 6 exons.